Molecule: ribosomal RNA, 262 nt
Filed under: uncultured bacterium
Lineage: Bacteria
Description: partial 16S ribosomal RNA
Rfam family: Bacterial small subunit ribosomal RNA
Source: RNAcentral
GUCCACGCCGUAAACGAUGAGCACUAGGUGUCGGGGUCGCAAGACUUCGGUGCCGCAGUUAACGCAUUAAGUGCUCCGCCUGGGGGAGUACGCACGCAAGUGUGAAACUCAAAGGAAUUGACGGGGACCCCGCACAAGCAGCGGAGCAUGUGGUUUAAUUCGAAGCAACGCGAAGAACCUUACCAGGACUUGACAUCCCUCUGACAGUCCCUUAACCGGGAUCUCCUUCGGGCAGAGGUGACAGGUGGUGCAUGGUUGUCGU